Molecule: non-coding RNA, 454 nt
Organism: Apodemus sylvaticus (European woodmouse)
Lineage: Eukaryota; Metazoa; Chordata; Mammalia; Rodentia; Muridae
Source: the annotation of a RefSeq genome assembly
UCCACAGUCACUGAAAACACUGACUCUAGCCAUGGAAUGGAGCUGGGUCUUUCUCUUACUCCUGUCAGUAACUGCAGGUGUCCAAUCGCAGGUCCAGCUGCAACAAUCUGGAGAUGAGCUGGUGGGGCCUAUAGCUAUAGUGAAGUUGUCCUGCAAGGCUUCUGGCUACACCUUCACCAGUGACUGGGUGCACUGGGUAAAGCAGAGUCCUGGACAUGGCCUUGAGUGGAUUGGAUAUAUUUAUCCUGCAGAUGGUGGUACUAACUACAAUGAGAAAUUCAAGGGCAAGGCCACACUGACUGCAGACACAUCCUCCAGCACAGCCUACAUGCAUCUCAGCAGCCUGACAUCUGAGGACUCUGCUGUCUAUGACUGUGCAAGACACAGUGUUAUCACUACACCGAGUGUGUCAGAAGUCCUGGAGGGGGAGAAAGCUGCCUUAGGAAUGAGAUGA